AUUGAACGCUGGCGGCAUGCCUUACACAUGCAAGUCGAACGGCAGCACGGAGCUUGCUCUGGUGGCGAGUGGCGAACGGGUGAGUAAUAUAUCGGAACGUACCCUAGAGUGGGGGAUAACGUAGCGAAAGUUACGCUAAUACCGCAUACGAUCUAAGGAUGAAAGUGGGGGAUCGCAAGACCUCAUGCUCGUGGAGCGGCCGAUAUCUGAUUAGCUAGUUGGUAGGGUAAAAGCCUACCAAGGCAUCGAUCAGUAGCUGGUCUGAGAGGACGACCAGCCACACUGGAACUGAGACACGGUCCAGACUCCUACGGGAGGCAGCAGUGGGGAAUUUUGGACAAUGGGCGAAAGCCUGAUCCAGCAAUGCCGCGUGAGUGAAGAAGGCCUUCGGGUUGUAAAGCUCUUUUGUCAGGGAAGAAACGGUGAGAGCUAAUAUCUCUUGCUAAUGACGGUACCUGAAGAAUAAGCACCGGCUAACUACGUGCCAGCAGCCGCGGUAAUACGUAGGGUGCAAGCGUUAAUCGGAAUUACUGGGCGUAAAGCGUGCGCAGGCGGUUUUGUAAGUCUGAUGUGAAAUCCCCGGGCUCAACCUGGGAAUUGCAUUGGAGACUGCAAGGCUAGAAUCUGGCAGAGGGGGGUAGAAUUCCACGUGUAGCAGUGAAAUGCGUAGAUAUGUGGAGGAACACCGAUGGCGAAGGCAGCCCCCUGGGUCAAGAUUGACGCUCAUGCACGAAAGCGUGGGGAGCAAACAGGAUUAGAUACCCUGGUAGUCCACGCCCUAAACGAUGUCUACUAGUUGUCGGGUCUUAAUUGACUUGGUAACGCAGCUAACGCGUGAAGUAGACCGCCUGAGGAGUACGGUCGCAAGAUUAAAACUCAAAGGAAUUGACGGGGACCCGCACAAGCGGUGGAUGACGUGGAUUAAUUCGAUGCAACGCGAAAAACCUUACCUACCCUUGACAUGGCUGGAAUCCCCGAGAGAUCAGGGAGUGCUCGAAAGAGAACCAGUACACAGGUGCUGCAUGGCUGUCGUCAGCUCGUGUCGUGAGAUGUUGGGUUAAGUCCCGCAACGAGCGCAACCCUUGUCAUUAGUUGCUACGAAAGGGCACUCUAAUGAGACUGCCGGUGACAAACCGGAGGAAGGUGGGGAUGACGUCAAGUCCUCAUGGCCCUUAUGGGUAGGGCUUCACACGUCAUACAAUGGUACAUACAGAGCGCCGCCAACCCGCGAGGGGGAGCUAAUCGCAGAAAGUGUAUCGUAGUCCGGAUUGUAGUCUGCAACUCGACUGCAUGAAGUUGGAAUCGCUAGUAAUCGCGGAUCAGCAUGUCGCGGUGAAUACGUUCCCGGGUCU
RNAcentral lists this ribosomal RNA (1352 nucleotides) under uncultured bacterium. Its description in RNAcentral is "bacterial SSU rRNA". It matches the Rfam family "Bacterial small subunit ribosomal RNA", at positions 28 to 1381 of the family's 1533-position model. The record is from RNAcentral.